UGAUAUGAAGGCUUAUAUAAUUCCAAAUGAAAGGGGGAGCUUUAACUCCGAAAUUUAUUGUUCACACCUUUCAAACUUGGAUAAAUUAAAUUACCAGACAUCUGAAUUCAUUUAUGGAUUUUACUUCCUUGUUUAUAGAGCAAUUCACUUUACAUAUACUCAAUGUUUUGUCAUCAUCAAAAAGGGGGAGAUUGUGGAGUGAUUGAUUAAAACCCUAUUUGAUUUUGAUGAGCCCAAAGCAUUUGAGUAUAUCUCUUGUUUACUAAUGAAUUCAAUUAAGUGUUUCAGUGAAAAUCUUGUCUAAGUGUCUCUAGACUUGGUUCAUAAUAUUUUGAUAAGUUAAGAAGUCAGCUUGAACCAAAGUCUGAGACUCGAGUCGACUCCAGAGUAUCACGAGUCGACUCCAAGCGUAUCAAGUUCACUGGCACAAGCUCGAGUCGACUCCGGAUUAGUACGAGUCGACUCCGACUGAGAACAGACAGACGAACAGAAAGCAUCAACUCAAAACCUGUCAGCGAGUCGACUCCUGAACUGCGCGAGUCGACUCCGAUGUUCACCGAGUCGACUCCAGGGUAGUAUGAGUCGACUCCUAGGAGUCACAGGCAGAAAAGUCAGAGAGCAGUUUUCGGGUCUGAGAUUCGAGUCGACUCCAGUAGAACGCGGGUUGACUCCGAUGGUUGGCAAGUCGACUCCAAAGAAAGUGAGAGUCGACUCUCAGAGGAACACAAGAAAAAAGUCAGAUAACGUUUUUCGGACUCUGAGAUUCGAGUCGACUCCCGCAAUACGCGAGUCGACUCCUAGACACCGCGACCCCAAAGAAGACAGAAGACCAAUCUGCUGUGUCUGAGAGCCGAGUCGACUCCUAGAAAGCUCGAGUCGACUCCAAGGCAGCGGUACACCAAAAGGGCAGAAGACUUAGUUUCGGAAACUGAGAGCCGAGUCGACUCCGGGGAAGUUCGAGUCGACUCCAAGACUGGACGAGCCAAAAGACAGAAAAUCGGGAGUUC
RNAcentral lists this long non-coding RNA (1007 nucleotides) under Phoenix dactylifera (date palm). RNAcentral's name for it is "long non-coding RNA (PDAC_LNC015190)". Lineage: Eukaryota; Viridiplantae; Streptophyta; Magnoliopsida; Arecales; Arecaceae. The record is from RNAcentral.